Molecule: ribosomal RNA, 445 nt
Filed under: uncultured bacterium
Lineage: Bacteria
Description: bacterial SSU rRNA
Rfam family: Bacterial small subunit ribosomal RNA
Source: RNAcentral
UCCUACGGGAGGCAGCAGUGGGGAAUAUUGGACAAUGGACCACAAGUCUGAUCCAGCAAUUCUGUGUGCACGAUGACGUUUUUCGGAAUGUAAAGUGCUUUCAGUCGGGAAGAAGUCAGUGACGGUACCGACAGAAGAAGCGACGGCUAAAUACGUGCCAGCAGCCGCGGUAAUACGUAUGUCGCAAGCGUUAUCCGGAUUUAUUGGGCGUAAAGCGCGUCUAGGCGGCAAGGAAAGUCUGAUGUGAAAAUGCGGAGCUCAACUCCGUAUGGCGUCGGAAACUGCCUUACUAGAGUACUGGAGAGGUAGGCGGAACUACAAGUGUAGAGGUGAAAUUCGUAGAUAUUUGUAGGAAUGCCGAUGGGGAAGCCAGCCUACUGGACAGAUACUGACGCUAAAGCGCGAAAGCGUGGGUAGCAAACAGGAUUAGAUACCCUGGUAGUCC